RNAcentral lists this ribosomal RNA (406 nucleotides) under uncultured prokaryote. RNAcentral describes it as "bacterial SSU rRNA". It matches the Rfam family "Bacterial small subunit ribosomal RNA", at positions 355 to 776 of the family's 1533-position model. The record is from RNAcentral. RNAcentral also lists the same sequence under 1 other name.
UGGGGAAUAUUGCACAAUGGAGGAAACUCUGAUGCAGCAACGCCGCGUGAGUGAAGAAGGCUUUCGAGUCGUAAAACUCUGUCAUUAGGGAAAAGCAGAAGAUGGUACCUAAUGAGGAAGCUCCGGCUAACUACGUGCCAGCAGCCGCGGUAAUACGUAGGGAGCGAGCGUUGUCCGGAAUUACUGGGCGUAAAGAGUGCGUAGGCGGCAUAUCAAGUCAGGUGUGAAAUAUUAGGGCUCAACCCUGAAACUGCAUUUGAAACUGAUAAGCUUGAGUAUGGGAGAGGAAAGCGGAAUUCCUGGUGUAGCGGUGAAAUGCAUAGAGAUCAGGAGGAACACCGGUGGCGAAGGCGGCUUUCUGGACCAUAACUGACGCUGAGGCACGAAAGCGUGGGUAGCAAACAGG